AAACUGCUUAGAAACGUAACACACCUCAUAACUUAUAAUUCAUACUAUACCUUCCAAGGUAGAUUUUACAGGCAAAAAAGAAGCGUCCCAAUCAGUGGACCACUUGCCGGAAUAAUGGCCGAGCUAGUUGUCUGACAUAGAAAUGCCCUAACCCUUCACCAGGCAGAAAUUAAACUAUAUGCCCGAUACAUAGACGAUGUAUGUAUAAUUUGGAAGCAGAAAGAAUAUAACAACAGUAUAAUAAACAUGCUUAAUGACAAUACUAUGGGGCUCACGGUAAGACUCAAACAAACUAGCAAUAAAACGUUUCAUUUUUUGGACUUCCAAGUAAACACAGAACAAGGUGAAUAUAUCACCACCAUCUAUAAAAAACCCACAUAUAUACUAAUCAUUAUACCAGCCUGGUCUAAUGAUUAUAUGCCAUAUAAACUCGCAGCCUUUAGAUCGAUGUUCAUGAGAAUACAUACCAUAUAACUAAAUGGCAGGACAAAUAUAAGGAACUUUUAUACGUAUAUAACCUAGGCCAUAAGUUUGGUUACAAUAGAAAGACUAUGGAAGGUAUUUGGAAUAAGGUACAGAAACACAUAGAAA
This 591-nucleotide long non-coding RNA is filed under the name Androctonus crassicauda. Lineage: Eukaryota; Metazoa; Arthropoda; Arachnida; Scorpiones; Buthidae. The record is from RNAcentral.